CCUACGGGAGGCAGCAGUGGGGAAUUUUGGACAAUGGGCGCAAGCCUGAUCCAGCAAUGCCGCGUGAGUGAAGAAGGCCUUCGGGUUGUAAAGCUCUUUUGUCAGGGAAGAAACGGCCGAGGCUAAUACCUUUGGCUAAUGACGGUACCUGAAGAAUAAGCACCGGCUAACUACGUGCCAGCAGCCGCGGUAAUACGUAGGGUGCAAGCGUUAAUCGGAAUUACUGGGCGUAAAGCGUGCGCAGGCGGUUUUGUAAGUCUGACGUGAAAUCCCCGGGCUCAACCUGGGAAUUGCGUUGGAGACUGCAAGGCUGGAGUCUGGCAGAGGGGGGUAGAAUUCCACGUGUAGCAGCGAAAUGCGUAGAGAUGUGGAGGAACACCGAUGGCGAAGGCAGCCCCCUGGGUCAAGACUGACGCUCAUGCACGAAAGCGUGGGGAGCAAACAGGAUUAGAUACCCUGGUAGUCCACGCCCUAAACGAUGUCUACUAGUUGUCGGGUCUUAAUUGACUUGGUAACGCAGCUACGCGUGAGUAGACCGCCGNGGGAGGUACGGUCGGUCGAGAAGUUAAACGUUAAAGGUUAAAGUUAGUACGGCGUUGAGACGNGCCGACGGACGACGACGAGGGAGGAGG
RNAcentral lists this ribosomal RNA (632 nucleotides) under uncultured bacterium. RNAcentral's name for it is "bacterial SSU rRNA". The stretch from base 1 to 540 matches the Rfam family "Bacterial small subunit ribosomal RNA", at positions 338 to 873 of the family's 1533-position model. The record is from RNAcentral.